RNAcentral lists this long non-coding RNA (490 nucleotides) under Helianthus annuus (common sunflower). Its description in RNAcentral is "hypothetical non coding rna". Lineage: Eukaryota; Viridiplantae; Streptophyta; Magnoliopsida; Asterales; Asteraceae. The record is from RNAcentral.
GCCAGAAGAAUCAAAACCCUAACAACCCAAAAUCCGUCAAAUUGAAAGGGAAAUUGAAGGUUAAUCGUAUGCAUGAACUAGGAAUGUUAAUCACUUGAGGAUCUCCAACAUCAAUGAUGUAUAACGCGAAAGCUAAACGCGUAUGUAAUGCACCUUAUAGGGUCGAAGAAAGGAGCGGAAUCAAACCAAGCAAAGGCAAUAGGAGCGCACGACUCCGGUGAAUCUCACUCUUGAUAAUGGCGAGCUUGGAUCGAACACACCACAUCGCCCUUUUAUGCGCUUCCGGUUUAAGUCGUCUUUGUAAAUGGGUCAAAACACUUUCAUAAUGUAAAUGUUAAGUUUAUGUCUAGGAUGUUUCGUAAGUAAGUUAGGAUUUUAAAUCUUAUUUUGGUAGUUCGGACAAAAACAUUUUUGUUGGAAUCUUGUAAGCUUACAACUUUCAUGUCUUUUAAAUGUGUCGUAGAUUUUAGUUUGAAUGGUGAUUGUUAAA